RNAcentral lists this ribosomal RNA (253 nucleotides) under uncultured bacterium. RNAcentral's name for it is "partial 16S ribosomal RNA". It matches the Rfam family "Bacterial small subunit ribosomal RNA", at positions 524 to 776 of the family's 1533-position model. The record is from RNAcentral.
UACGUAGGGGGCAAGCGUUGUCCGGAAUUAUUGGGCGUAAAGGGAGUCUAGGCGGUCAGGUAAGUGGAAUGUGAAAUCCCUCGGCUCACCCGAGGACCUGCAUCCCAAACUGCCUGGCUUGAGUAUGGGAGAGGAUGAGGGAAUUCCUGGUGUAGCGGUGAAAUGCGUAGAGAUGUGGAGGAACACCGAUGGCGAAGGCAGCCUUCUGGGCCAACACUGACGCUCAUGCACGAAAGCGUGGGGAGCAAACAGG